Durio zibethinus is the source of this 1533-nucleotide non-coding RNA. NCBI's taxonomy places the organism in Eukaryota, Viridiplantae, Streptophyta, Magnoliopsida, Malvales, Malvaceae. The record is from RefSeq and is a predicted model, not a curated record.
AAAUACUAACAUACUUCAAUUGCAUAUUUGACAUGUAAAAAUGGUUUGUUCAAAUGAUUGUUUCUCUUCUUUUAUUCUUUAUUCAUCUUUCAGGGUUUUCUAAGUGCAUUCUCUCUAUUCCAAUUUUCAUUAAUUGUUUCUUUAUGAUAUUCAAAGCACCGGUUUUGUUUUGGGCCACCAAUAUAAAAUUUCUGGCUUUGCCCUAUUGCUUGUACAUUAAAGCAAGUUUGUUUAAGAAAUAUGUUCCCAACAUCAAUUAUAUUUAUCACUUAUAAACAAGAGAAGUUACAGAAGAAAACUGAGAAAUGUUCACAAUUUUCAUAAUUUAGGUGGUUAGAUGUUGCUUGGAGCAUGCAGCUUCAGUGGCCAAGACUUUCUUGAUGUCUGAUUGUGCAGUUGUUGAGAUUAAGGAACCUGAGCCUGUGCCUUCUGGCAACCCCAUGGAUAAUACAGGAUCCUACAACUACGUGCAGAACAUGAUUGGGCCUUUCCCUCAUUGGUUGUUGAUAUAAAUGAUGAUCUGAGCCAAAAUGAUGAGAAAGAGAUUGAUGUGGACACUAAUUUGUAUCCUGCUUGUCUAUGAUAACUUUAUGCAAAGUAGAAAAGCUUAUGAAGAAAACACCCAAAAUAAAAGCGAUCCAAAGCUUGGACCUGAUGCUUGCCAAAACCAUUGGUUAGUGAUCCUUUUUUAUAGGAAUUUGGUUGCAUUAACACCAUCUACCUUGAAGCUUUAUGGCUCUUUAGCUAGAUGCCUGUGCCACAUGAAGCUUUGGAAUUGGAGGGGCCUUAAUGAAAAAACCUUGGGGCCACUCAGAGGAUUGAUGAUUUAUCCUUCAUGGUUGCCUGCCUGCCUGCCUGCUUGGUGUCUGUGGAAUGGGAGUUCUACAUCUGCCAUUGUUAGUAAUUAGUUGGGUGUUCAAAGACACAUGCCCAGUUGAUUAUAUCUUCUUUAGGUUUUCUUCUUUUAUCUUAGGUGUCAUUUAAGAUCUGAAGUUUAUCUGCAAGUAUUAUAACAUACAUAUAUGAUCCUCCACCUCAACCUUGUUUUAUCUGAUGUGCUGAUUUGACAGAAUGUGACAAUUCACAAUUUAAUACAUUUGUAAUUAACUCGUAAGUUUGUAACAAAGAUGAAACCAAUGACUUAGUAUGAAAUAGUAUUGAGCAAUUCACCAUUAAUUGGAACAAUUUGCAUAUUUUGAUUAGUACUAGUACUAGAGCUGCUUAUUUCUUAUAACUGAUGCCCUUUGUUGAUGCGAAAGGAGCUUAAAAGGUUGGUGGCUUGUAGGAGGUUACUUACACACACUUGUCCAACUCUUGGAAAAUGCUUUCUUGUUUUUCUGCUAGCACAUGUUUCUAAACCCAUGCUUAUUUUAAUUUUUAUGUGGACAUAUUCAUCACUGAUGCUUGGACUGUAUCCAAAAUAGGAUUCAAUUAAACCAUGUCAUUUCUACUUAAACCAUCAAUUUCAGGAAUUACAGGGUCUUCCAUAGUUGCUUGAUCUUGCAGCAUAACCUCCAACUUUUAUAUGCAUAU